RNAcentral lists this ribosomal RNA (1511 nucleotides) under Pseudomonas aeruginosa. Its description in RNAcentral is "bacterial SSU rRNA". It matches the Rfam family "Bacterial small subunit ribosomal RNA". The record is from RNAcentral. Lineage: Bacteria; Pseudomonadati; Pseudomonadota; Gammaproteobacteria; Pseudomonadales; Pseudomonadaceae.
GAACUGAAGAGUUUGAUCAUGGCUCAGAUUGAACGCUGGCAGCAGGGGCCUUCAACACAUGCAAGUCGAGCUUAUGAAGGGAGCUUGCCUUGGAUUCAGUUAGCUAUGAGUAAUGCCUAGGAAUCUGCCUGGUAGUGGGGGAUAACGUCCGGAAACGGCCGCUAAUACCGCAUACGUCCUGAGGGAGAAAGUCGGGGAUCUUCGGACCUCACGCUAUCAGAUGAGCCUAGGUCGGAUUAGCUAGUUGGUGGGGUAAAGGCCUACCAAGGCGACGAUCCGUAACUGGUCUGAGAGGAUGAUCAGUCACACUGGAACUGAGACACGGUCCAGACUCCUACGGGAGGCAGCAGUGGGGAAUAUUGGACAAAAGCCUGAUCCAGCCAUGCCGCGUGUGUGAAGAAGGUCUUCGGAUUGUAAAGCACUUUAAGUUGGGAGGAAGGGCAGUAAGUUAAUACCUUGCUGUUUGACGUUACCAACAGAAUAAGCACCGGCUAACUUCGUGCCAGCAGCCGCGGUAAUACGAAGGGUGCAAGCGUUAAUCGGAAUUACUGGGCGUAAAGCGCGCGUAAGUGGUUCAGCAAGCUUGAUGUGAAAUCCCCGGGCUCAACCUGGGAACUGCAUCCAAAAGCUACUGAGCUAGAGUACGGUAGAGGUGGUAGAAUUUCCUGUGUAGCGGUGAAAUGCGUAGAUAUAGGAAGGAACACCAGUGGCGAAGGCGACCACCUGGACUGUACUGACACUGAGGUGCGAAAGCGUGGGGAGCAAACAGGAUUAGAUACCCUGGUAGUCCACGCCGUAAACGAUGUCGACUAGCCGUUGGGAUCCUUGAGAUCUUAGUGGCGCACGUAACGCGAUAAGUCGACCGCCUGGGGAGUACGGCCGCAAGGUUAAAACUCAAAUGAAUUGACGGGGGCCCGCACAAGCGGUGGAGCAUGUGGUUUAAUUCGAAGCAACGCGAAGAACCUUACCUGGCCUUGACAUGCUGAGAACUUUCCAGAGAUGGAUUGGUGCCUUCGGGAACAGAGACACAGGUGCUGCAUGGCUGUCGUCAGCUCGUGUCGUGAUAUGUUGGGUUAAGUCCCGUAACGAGCGCAACCCUUGUCCUUAGUUACCAGCACCUCGGGUGGGCACUCUAAGGAGACUGCCGGUGACAAACCGGAGGAAGGUGGGAGUCAUCAUGGCCCUUACGGCCAGGGCUACACACGUGCUACAAUGGUCGGUACAAAGGGUUGCCAAGCCGCGAGUGGGAGCUAAUCCCAUAAAACCGAUCGUAGUCCGGAUCGCAGUCUGCAACUCGACUGCGUGAAGUCGGAAUCGCUAGUAAUCGUGAAUCAGAAUGUCACGGUGAAUACGUCCCCGGGCCUUGUACACACCUCACACCAUGGGAGUGGGUUGCUCCAGAAGUAGCUAGUCUAACCGCAAGGGGGACGGUUACCACGGAGUGAUUCAUGACUGGGGUGAAGUCGUAACAAGGUAGCCGUAGGGGAACCUGCGGCUGGAUCACCUCCUUA